RNAcentral lists this transfer RNA (74 nucleotides) under Planctomycetes bacterium RBG_13_50_24. RNAcentral's name for it is "tRNA-Val". It matches the Rfam family "tRNA". Rfam says of the family: Transfer RNA (tRNA) molecules are approximately 80 nucleotides in length. Their secondary structure includes four short double-helical elements and three loops (D, anti-codon, and T loops). Lineage: Bacteria; Pseudomonadati; Planctomycetota. The record is from RNAcentral.
GGGCGAUUAGCUCAGUUGGCUAGAGCACAUGCUUUACACGCAUGGGGUCACAGGUUCAAAUCCUGUAUCGCCCA